This is a non-coding RNA of Misgurnus anguillicaudatus (oriental weatherfish), 1147 nucleotides long. The record is from RefSeq and is a predicted model, not a curated record. NCBI's taxonomy places the organism in Eukaryota, Metazoa, Chordata, Actinopteri, Cypriniformes, Cobitidae.
AGUCAGUUAUUAGUCCUGAUUAUUUUCACCUGUGAAAGCCCUGAAUCAUCAGUCCUGCUGAACUGCCUGCAGACUAACAUCACAAACAGGUAAACUUUAUACUGAAAGCUUCAUUCCCUUUAAAGCAGAGUUUUUAUAUGUGAGGUAAUCUUGCUGGGAGUGAAGGCAGUGCAUGUGACCGCUUGAUAUGAGAGACACAUACUGUAUUUAAAUGUGAUGUAUGCAUGUUACUUUCAAUACUGACAUUAAAAUAAUAGUUAUUUACUGUUAAAAACAUUAUGAAAAUUGAAGUUUUGUGUGUUCUUAUUGUACUUUAUAUCAUUUAUAACAGGUCAACUUUAUACUGUAAGCUUCAUUCCAUUUAUAACAGAGUUUUCAUAUGUGAGGGAAUCUUGCUUAUGCUGGAAGUGAAGGCAGUGCGUAUGACCGCUUGAUACAAGAGACACAUUCUAUUUUUAAAGGUCAACAUACUGUAAGCUUCAUUCACUUUAAAGCAGAGGUUUCAUAUGUGAGGUAAUCUUGCUUAUGCUGGGAGUGAAGAGUGUGUAUGACCACUUGAUAUGAAAGACACAUCCUGUUUUUAAAGGUGGAUCAUGAGUGAAGCUCUGCAGGUCUGCCAUUGGCUUGAUAACAGUGGUUAUGUGAAUUGAGUGAAUUCAAUUUAUAAAUAAAUCUUUCACCAAGCAUUCACCUAUUUACGGACAAAACAGAUCCAAAUCUUGUUCAGCUUGAUGCUCAACCUUGUAUGAUGAUGACCACAGCCAGGUGAUGGAGAUCUGUUUUAAUCACAGCCUGCAUCUCAAGAUCAACAUGACAACAGCAGAUCAUUUCUUAUCUUACUCUUAUGAUCCCGUAAAGAAAAUAAUAUGGACUUUUUUGGUGAGAUUCUACAAAGAUUGACACAAUCCUAUUGACUUUUAUUUUUACAGUUAAUAAUGCAUUAUAAACAUCCCAUUCAUUUUUAUUCUAUGUCAUCGAUCUGUUUGUGCUAAAAUGUAUACAUCUGAAUGUAAUGUCAAUAAUAUGUUAAUAUUCAGGAUUUAUUAUCAUUUGCAUGUUUUGAUGUUGCAUGUCAUGAUUUUAUUGAUUUUAUGUAAUUGUUGUCUAUUUAAAAUGAUUUUAAUUGCCAAAUUUUAUGGUUAAUUUA